UGUAGUGUUGAUGUUCUAACGUCGACCCCUAAUCGGGGUUGCGGACAGUGCCUGGUGGGUAGUUUGACUGGGGCGGUCUCCUCCCAAAGAGUAACGGAGGAGCACGAAGGUGGGCUAAUCACGGUUGGACAUCGUGAGGUUAGUGCAAUGGCAUAAGCCCGCUUGACUGCGAGAAUGACAAUUCGAGCAGGUGCGAAAGCAGGUCAUAGUGAUCCGGUGGUUCUGAAUGGAAGGGCCAUCGCUCAACGGAUAAAAGGUACUCCGGGGAUAACAGGCUGAUACCGCCCAAGAGUUCAUAUCGACGGCGGUGUUUGGCACCUCGAUGUCGGCUCAUCACAUCCUGGGGCUGAAGUCGGUCCCAAGGGUAUGGCUGUUCGCCAUUUAAAGUGGUACGCGAGCUGGGUUUAGAACGUCGUGAGACAGUUCGGUCCCUAUCUGCCGUGGGCGUUGGAAGAUUGAAGGGGGCUGCUCCUAGUACGAGAGGACCGGAGUGGACGAACCUCUGGUGUUCGGGUUGUGUCGCCAGACGCAUUGCCCGGUAGCUAAGUUCGGAAUCGAUAACCGCUGAAAGCAUCUAAGCGGGAAGCGAGCCCUGAGAUGAGUCUUCCCUGAUACUUUAAGUAUCCUAAAGGGUUGUCGGAGACUACGACGUUGAUAGGUCAGGUGUGUAAGUGCUGUGAGGCAUUGAGCUAACUGAUACUAAUUGCCCGUGAGGCUUAACCAUACAACACCCAAGGGGUUU
RNAcentral lists this ribosomal RNA (742 nucleotides) under Vibrio parahaemolyticus. Its description in RNAcentral is "partial 23S ribosomal RNA". It matches the Rfam family "Bacterial large subunit ribosomal RNA", at positions 2207 to 2925 of the family's 2925-position model. The record is from RNAcentral. Lineage: Bacteria; Pseudomonadati; Pseudomonadota; Gammaproteobacteria; Vibrionales; Vibrionaceae.